RNAcentral lists this transfer RNA (72 nucleotides) under Loxodonta africana (African savanna elephant). It matches the Rfam family "tRNA". From Rfam's summary of the family: Transfer RNA (tRNA) molecules are approximately 80 nucleotides in length. Their secondary structure includes four short double-helical elements and three loops (D, anti-codon, and T loops). The record is from Rfam by way of RNAcentral. Lineage: Eukaryota; Metazoa; Chordata; Mammalia; Proboscidea; Elephantidae.
GCAGUGGUGGUUCGGUUGUGGAAUUCUCACCUUUCACGUGGGAGACCCCAAGUUCGAUUCCCGGCUGAUGUA